UACGAAGGGGGCUAGCGUUGCUCGGAAUUACUGGGCGUAAAGCGCACGUAGGCGGCUUUCUAAGUCGGGGGUGAAAUCCUGGAGCUCAACUCCAGAACUGCCUUUGAUACUGGGGAUCUCGAGUCCGGGAGAGGUGAGUGGAACUCCGAGUGUAGAGGUGAAAUUCGUAGAUAUUCGGAGGAACACCAGUGGCGAAGGCGGCUCACUGGCCCGAUACUGACGCUGAGGCACGAAAGCGUGGGGAGCAAACAGG
Molecule: ribosomal RNA, 253 nt
Filed under: uncultured bacterium
Lineage: Bacteria
Description: partial 16S ribosomal RNA
Rfam family: Bacterial small subunit ribosomal RNA
Source: RNAcentral